CAAUUUUUAAUCAAAUAUUGAUCAGGAACUACAGAAUUUUCGACUACAGGGCGUCACACUACAGAGAACAGAACGACAGUCACAACGUCCCAAAAUACGACAGACUGAAAAUUUGCUGUUGUGUUUUUCAAGUGGGUGAGACGUCUAUACGGCGUAUACGCAGAUUGCUGUCCUCUCUAUUAAAAGCAACGUUGCUGAAACACGUCGUACAAGACGCUGUACGACUCGCAUAACAUCGAAAUACAACGCCGUCACCAUCCAUGAGAUCACCGAAAGCACGGUCGCUUUCGGUGGCGGCCUACAGAUGGCAGCACAGGUAGCGCCGGUAAAGUUACAGGUGAUAUUAUUUUGCCGUCCUCAGUUGUCGCCACAUGUGAGUGCUUGCUGCAUUGACGCCGUCCGAUGUAGUUGUUUAAUCGUGUGUACGCUGUGCCGAGAGAAAUUGUGGUGCAUUUUGUAUGCAUUGAGAAUCAUAAAACCCCUGGUACCGCGUAAUGUAGCCCGCAGUAUCCUUCGUGUGGUGCGCCGAUGUCGAAGAUAUGACCCUUCGCGCUUCCUUUGUUCCGGGCUCAUGAACAGGAUCUCCUCCUCUGGCACUGUCGCAUCGUAUCGCGCUGUACGGAAGAAUUUGGUGAAAGUUGUGCUCUUACGUCCUGUAGUUGAUCCGCAAUUCAACAGUGUGUGCGCCGGAAGGACCGUUGGUGCAGUCGAUGCCGCGGCACCUGUGGCGCUAAAAGGAGCGUUUUCCGAGUACGCCUAGAAAGGGAUGGCAAGAUUUUGUGAACCAGAGGCACCUCCACAUAUGCACCUGCGGCACUUCUGCAGCCUCAACAGCACGGAAAAGUACCUGAUGUGCAUGCUGUGACAAGCUGCUGUAGGUAUGGCUGGACCUGGAGAAGAAGUGUAAGCAGACCAUGCUAUGUUGCUGAUCUGCGCUGAAAUCCACAUCCAAGUUGGUCCCGCGACAGUUGGGCACCAUUGUGCCUUGCUUCAUUGACAAGGUGAUAUAAUAUGGUGCCCUGCUCGCUCUCACCCAAGCAACCCACUCCAGCGGUCUUCUCUCGGCAGACUGGAUGCAUCGAAAUACCGUUAGAAGGUCCAAUAAACAGUGCUUGGGACAUUUA
Molecule: long non-coding RNA, 1124 nt
Filed under: Dermacentor andersoni
Lineage: Eukaryota; Metazoa; Arthropoda; Arachnida; Ixodida; Ixodidae
Description: uncharacterized LOC126518640
Source: RNAcentral